UACGUAGGGGGCUAGCGUUGUCCGGAAUCAUUGGGCGUAAAGCGCGUGUAGGCGGUCCGGUAAGUCCGCUGUGAAAGUCGGGGGCUCAACCCUCGGAUGCCGGUGGAUACUGUCGGGCUUGAGUACGGAAGAGGCGAGUGGAAUUCCUGGUGUAGCGGUGAAAUGCGCAGAUAUCAGGAGGAACACCAAUGGCGAAGGCAGCUCGCUGGGAAGUUACUGACGCUGAGACGCGAAAGCGUGGGGAGCAAACAGG
Molecule: ribosomal RNA, 253 nt
Filed under: uncultured bacterium
Lineage: Bacteria
Description: partial 16S ribosomal RNA
Rfam family: Bacterial small subunit ribosomal RNA
Source: RNAcentral